AUACGGAGGGUUCAAGCGUUAUUCGGAAUCACUGGGCGUAAAGGACGCGUAGGCGGGUUGGCAAGUCAGAUGUGAAAUCCUACAGCUUAACUGUAGAACUGCAUUUGAAACUGCUAACCUAGAGUAUGGGAGGGGGCGAUGGAAUUAGUGGUGUAGGGGUAAAAUCCGUAGAUAUCACUAGGAAUACCGAAAGCGAAGGCGAUCUCCUGGAACAUAACUGACGCUAAGGCGUGAAAGCGUGGGGAGCAAACAGGAUUAGAAACCCUUGUAGUCC
Molecule: ribosomal RNA, 274 nt
Filed under: uncultured bacterium
Lineage: Bacteria
Description: partial 16S ribosomal RNA
Rfam family: Bacterial small subunit ribosomal RNA
Source: RNAcentral